CCUUUAGUGGGGAUACCGUAUGGAAACGUACGUUAAUACCGAAUGAGAUCUACGGAUGAAAGGUGCCCUCUUCUUGAAAGGUAUCGCUAAAGGAUGAGCCCAUGUUAGAUUAGCUAGUUGGUGAGGUAAUGGCUCACCAAGGCAUCGAUCUAUAGCUGGUUUGAGAGGAUGAUCAGCCACACUGGGACUGAGACACGGCCCAGACUCCUACGGGAGGCAGCAGUGGGGAAUAUUGCACAAUGGAGGAAACUCUGAUGCAGCCAUGCCGCGUGUGUGAAGAAGGCCCGAGGGUUGUAAAGCACUUUUAGUGAGGAGGAAAGGUUAGUAGUUAAUACCUGCUAGCUGUGACGUUACUCACAGAAAAAGCACCGGCUAACUCUGUGCCAGCAGCCGCGGUAAUACAGAGGGUGCAAGCGUUAUUCGGAAUUACUGGGCGUAAAGCGCGCGUAGGCGGAUUGUUAAGUCAGUUGUGAAAGCCCUGGGCUCAACCUAGGAACGGCGAUUGAAACUGGCAGUCUAGAGUUUAGUAGAGGGAAGGGGAAUUUCUGGAGUAGCAGUGAAAUGCGUAGAUAUCAGAAGGAACAUCAGUGGCGAAGGCGCCUUCCUGGACUAAAACUGACGCUGAGGUGCGAAAGCGUGGGGAGCAAACGGGAUUAGAUACCCCGGUAGUCCACGCCCUAAACGAUGUCAACUAGCUGUUGGCCUUAU
RNAcentral lists this ribosomal RNA (708 nucleotides) under Thiomicrospira sp. RNAcentral describes it as "bacterial SSU rRNA". It matches the Rfam family "Bacterial small subunit ribosomal RNA", at positions 130 to 832 of the family's 1533-position model. Lineage: Bacteria; Pseudomonadati; Pseudomonadota; Gammaproteobacteria; Thiotrichales; Piscirickettsiaceae. The record is from RNAcentral.